Molecule: non-coding RNA, 184 nt
Filed under: Pseudomonadota bacterium
Lineage: Bacteria; Pseudomonadati; Pseudomonadota
Also listed under: 2 other names
Description: 6S RNA
Rfam family: 6S / SsrS RNA
About the family: E. coli 6S RNA was the first non coding RNA to be sequenced, but its function was unknown until recently. It consists of 184 nucleotides that fold into an extended hairpin structure with a large single-stranded internal bulge.
Source: RNAcentral
UCCUGCCGUGCGCGUGUGGGUCACACGUUCCGACCCAACACCCAUGACACCGGGAGCCCGCCUCUGACCGUGGACGACAGGCCUCCCGCCCCGGUGGGCGGCUUGGGGACGUCGGAAGCGGCCAGGAGGGCACCCACCUGUUGAGAGACAGGAUCGGGAACGGCGACCCGACGGCACGGCGGGA